UCAGCAAAUAUGCCUUCACUUGAUCCGAAUAUCGCUUGGUUGCUUAUCACUACAGUCAUCGUAAUUGUUUGACCCCAAAAAUCCUCUCCAAAUUUGGAGUAACAUCCUUUCAACUGCACAUCACUAACCUGUUUGAAAUAAGCAUUUACCCCGAUUCUAACCAAAAUACGCAAGACUAUCAGGUAGAGCAAGAAACCUCUUAAUCAACAUCUUCAUUCUGCAGCCUAUCAAUGUACAUGUCAUAAUACUUCGCGGCCGACUCCAUUUCACCAAUUUCGGAAUAGCAAUCACCGAUGGCUCCAUAGGCUUCGGUAUUUCCUGAAAAUUCAUUGGUCUUGUCGGAUAUCGAUAGAACCAGCUGAUGAAACUUAAUUGCAUCCCUGUACUUCUUCUGCCGCUGGCAUGCAGCCCCUGUUACACAACUCAACAUCAGCAUGUGGAAUCUACAUGCGCAUCUUCCAUGUAAUUGAGAUGAAAUUCACCCUCAUGAAUCAUCUGUUAUACCGAACUUACCUAGCCCUCGUGCGGCUUUCUUCUCUUCCACAGUGUCUCUGUACUUCCUGGCCAGUUGAAGGGCCUUUUCAAACUCAAGAAAUGCUCCAGCAGGAUUCUGUUCACGCAGCAAUCGUUUUCCAGAUCUCAAAAACUGCAGCAACUCCUCCUUUCCUAGGUCUACAGGUUCUGCUGUUGCAACACUAGAGCGACCUGCGACAGGUGCAUAUUUCAAACUAGGUGCAUAUGACUCUACUCGCGCCUGUCUCCUUAGAUUUAGAUUGAUCUGCCGGAGUUGAGUGUUGAUGUUAUACAACUCGUCUCUUCUUUGUCGCGCAAUUACACCUGCAUGAGCAAUCCCUUCUAAAUUUAGCAGAAGAUACGAAAACCUGACGGCUCGUCGAUUCCCAAAGAAAAAUCGACUAAUACUGCAGUUUAUAUGAAUGACAUAAAUCAUUCCAUAAAUACCAUGGCAAUCAUUCGAUAAAAAAACACUAGAACCGCUUACAGCGACAUAUUGGUACACUAAAGCAUAGAGGCACCACUAAUAUCAGCAGGCUCUCGUCGAAAGAGCGCUGCCUCAAACUAGCAAGGUAGUCACAGAUGUUCUAACAAAGAAUUUUGAAUCUCUACGGCUCUGACCUGCAACGACUGCUCCAGUCAACGCAACGGCUUCAGCAAUGCACAAAACGGUAAUAAGAUUGUUCACAUUGCCCCCGGCAGCGUCGACAAGCAAAUCUGGUAGAGAUUCAGCCCUUGCACUGCACUCCAGCAGGAGGUUCCCUGCAAGAAAUGCUAAACCUACUUUCGCAGGCCGAUAAUGCCAUCUUCUCUGCAGAUAUGAAGUUCAACUCAAUCGUAAUUCAAGACAAUGUAAGGAAAGAAUGAAUUCAAAGUGACCUUCACGUGUAAAUUCCAAAUUAAUGUGAUCGUGUCAGUGGAUGCGAAAAUUGAUUUAAUGAAACAUCUACAAGUGCAGCAAAAAAUUGGGGUUUGAGAGUCAAUGCUGUACUACCAAACACAGAGAACCAAAAGAUGACAUACUUCGGAAUGUUCAACGGAAGCAGCUGUAGCUGGUCUAUGAGAACAACACGGCACGCGCCUUAUGGCAUUGCGAUCCACAAUACGCAAGCUCGUACGCACGCCAAAACAUUCACUGCUCCCCGAUGAAAGCCCUGCAAAGCUCCCUGUACUCCUACUUCUACUACUAGAAACCUCACCUAAUUGAGAGCAGCAAGACGUCAAAGACGUCCACUCAAAACCGCAGGUCGUCGCCAUAGCUGCAACCAGUAGACACUAACAAUGCUAACACAUAGAAGACAAUCUUCGGAGUAAUUCAACAGACAAUAACGCUUUUUCCAACGCCGCUCGCAGUGCCGCUAAAACCUAAAAUCUACACACUGUGAAGCUCAGUUCACAGACGACGGCACUGGAUGUAGAAUCAUUCCAAUGUAGUGCGAACAAGCCAGAAACACUAGUUAUGGCCACAAGGAGAUAUUGAGCUUGCAACCACCAUAGCCACAUCCAACGAUGCAGCGAAGUAGACUUGAGCACAUCGCCUCAUCUCCUCAACAUCUUCCACCAAAUCAACAAAAUUUGUUAAUACUCCACACCAUCUACGAAAAUCUAAUGAAAAGUAUUGAUUUACGCGGAAGGAUGAGAAAAUAUUGAUGAAAAAACCAAGUGGGCUUAUCCAAUCAGGAUGCGCACCAUUCACGGUUCCCCACGGGAUGUCGCGAGGUUUGCCUUCCGCACCCGCAAUGCUAAAGCCAGAGUGGAACUGCUGACUCGGAAGUGGAGUCGCCACGUGGGAUUCGCCUGGGAUUGUCGUAGUUCCAUGUAUCUCGCACGGUAUACGGUAACCCUCGGUCAUGGAUUGAUACGCCCGGCGAUAGGUGACGCAGCCACUUUCCGUGCCGUCCCGAAGAGUGGCUGGCUGUGUGGGAGAGAAGUUUGUGGUACGUGAAAUUUGUUGUUUCUGCACAGAAUUGUCAGUGAAUGAUCGAUUUGUUUGUUAGUAGGAAGCCCAUCGUAUUCAUUCAGUUCAAAAGCCUCAUCAUUCUCAUCACUCUGUAAUUUUCAGGGCAGAAUUUGGACCAGAACCAGAUUGAAUCUGCCCAAAAAUGGUGUUCUCGUAAAUGGACUUAAGUUGGUCCAAGUUUUGCGAGUGCAAAACAGUGAACCAUGUGGAUGUUCAAUGUAGUAGCUAUUUUUCCAUGUAGUAGUGUCCUUUCAUGUCGAGAAUGAAUUGCUGGUUUUGUAGAGGAGGUAUUGAGAAACCUCAUCGAUCUUUGACAUGUUCUAGAUUUUUGGUGAGGAUGAAUAUUUGGUCCUGAGAGCAGUGGUGCACGGAGAUUUGAAUGCACCACCGGACUGUUGUUGCUGUAGAGCUAGCUGUUAGCAGAAUGAGAUGUCCAAGACUGUGAUGAAAAAUGCGGACCGUAUACGGUUGAAAUCGUGUUGAAAUUUCACGCAGGUCGGAUGCUAUACGUUGCCAUGGCAUGUCCAUUUUAAUUGUCUGUGAAUACUACUCCACGGGCGACGUUGCAGAAAGGCAGGCAUGCUGAAAUUUACUGCAGUCCAUCACGCCACGCCCAAUGUAUCUGUACAGAAGUUGUAGAAAUUAGAGCGUUUCAAAUUUCAAUGGACUUCACCCGAUCUUUGUGAGGUAAAGCUUUUGGUAAAGUUCUGCUGAAUGCUUGUAGUAUCAUACCAGUCAAUAACAUUAGGAUUUGGAAUUCGAUCUGCAAAACAGAUUUCCGAAGACUGAGCAACUGGUAGUCUCGCUCUGUGCUGAGAAUUUUUGUGCUCCAUCUUACGAGAAGAAACUAUGCCAAUAUUCACUGGAUUAUGGAAUUAUACGCGUCUGCUGUCGCAGGAUUUGUUGUUGAUCGGUGUGAAGUGCAGCAGCCAUGUCUUGAUAAGUGAACGGGAUGAAUGCAUUUUAGCCCUGAGAGUACUGCUACAAAUGAGAUGGAUCGAUUGCCAACUCAGCAUAUUACUGGACCUGCUUUCUGCUGAAUUGGGCACGUCACAUAUCCACGACGCUUGUCUAUUGCUUGCGAGUUUCUAAAAAUUGCAUGGGCCUCAAUCCCUAUUUCUCUCUAUUGUCCAAUUCCGCACAACCCUCAAAACAAGAAUUGGUGUUCUUGGUUGUCAGGAGCACUUUCAGGCUUUACCGCACUCAUUGAACUCCCGGAUUGUAUAUUAUCGUGUUGGGGUUUUCAUUCUUGGUGGAAAAAAUUGCGGCAACGUCGAUGUGAUGCAUUAUCGUGACUUGAGAAGGGGGCUUCAUUGUGUGGCCGGUGGAAUUUUUUUUGAGUCCGGUUUCUUAGUUUGUUUUAUCGCUUAAGUGUGUUGGAGCGGCGUACUGAUUUCGCGCAAUGACAAGGUACAAAGCAUGCUGCGUUUGUUUUUGGUACAGCUGAGGGCUUGUGAUUGCAAAAGUUUUUUGAUUAGGGAUUGUGAUGAAUUAUGUGCUGGCUUGCAUUGUUGAGAGGCAGAGGAGGCAAGGUGAGGAUUGCUUCCGAUCCUAAUGUAUUUCUAGUUGUGGGGGACGCUGGAAGGGGGGAAGCUGAGUUUGUAAUGCAUAUCGAGUAAUGCUACAGUUACUAAAACUCAGCCACAAACUGUGUUGUGCUAUGCUGAAUUCUUGAUUUUCAGUGACGCUUGGCAAGCGCAGGUUUUACUCUAUUAGUAAUUUGCAUCAUCGGAGUGAAUUAACGGUGACGGAAAAGUAUUGUUGAAUCGGUGUUCUUUAGAGGAAAAAAUAUCCUUCCAAGUAACGAGCAUUCAUGUCUUUCUAUGAACCUCUGUUCUGCAGAUUUCUUUGUUAGCAGCCAUAUUGCCAUCCUAACCAGUGAUAGUAUGGUGGUGUCCGUUGUACAUGAAUGGAAUUUGAAGCCCCAAUUCUGCGUUCUUGACAUUGUGUGUUCCUUCGAUGGUUUUUUUGCAGGUCUCGCGUGAAGCGGAAAGCGGUGGCAGAACUAGGAGUACUAAAAGCUCAAGCUGAAAGCGAUGGAGGGCCGUCCUCUUCAGGACCAGUGACACCGAAGAGAGCACGCAAGUUGGAAGCAGAACCUCCAGAGAAAAGAUUGUCACGUUUCGUUAGGAAACCUUCGAUGGCUGUCAAGGAGCGCAUUCAACGAGCCUACAAUCACCGAUUAUAUCUUAUUGAUAAAAAGAUGAUGGAUUCCGAAGAGAGCUUACUGACUGGAUGUGAAUUUUUUGUCCUCGGUGCAACAGGAAAUGUUUACUCAGUAAAACUAGAAAAGUUGCCAUCUUGUACUUGUCCAGAUGCGAGGAGAGGUAAUAUCUGCAAGCAUUUCUUGUUUGUAAUGUUACGUGUUCUCAAGCUGCCAGAGUCAGAUACAAGAGUAUGGCAAAAAGCAUUGCUGCAGACUGAGCUCGAAGACCUACUGAAAAUUUCGGCCAUCAAUGAAGAUAUUGUAGCCAGUCAACUUGUUCGGCAGCGAUUUCAUGAAAUUACAGGUUUUCUCUACAUCUUCGUACUUCAAUAGAGCAGUUGUAACUGUUGCGUUUGUAAUAUGUAUUUCUUUUGAUUUGAUUUUUUUUAGGCAUGUGAAAAUAUAAAAUAUAAUUUGGUAUAGUAGUUUGUAAUAGAAACAGUUCGACUGGAAACCGAGGAUUCUUCUUACGUUACAGAGUCCAACGUGUGUCAUCGAAUUGUAAGCUGUAUCUGCAUUAAUUAGAUUCUUGUAAAUCAAGUGCCUAUUGUGUUAACGUUUGUCUUACUUGCGAUACGACUGAAGUGCGUGCAACAAGACAAAUUAAAAAUAUCACUUUGUGAGGCGCGAUAAUGUAGCCCAGAAUAUGAAUGGCAAGUCUCCUCACAAAUCCCAUACGGUAUCUUCCUGAUGAAGUUGAUCAUACAGGAACCAAUUCGAAAUCGGAUGCCUCUCCGAAUGAGACGCAGAAAAGUAUCCAGAGAGACAUCAAUGGAGACUGUCCCGUUUGCUACGAAGCAAUGGCUGGCGAUGACAACAAACCUGUAGAACCGAUUAUCUUUUGCAAGUCCUGUGGCAAUAACGUGCAUCGUGACUGCUUCGAUAGAUGGAGCGGUAGCAAACGGAGCACGGGAGGCAGAGUAACCUGCAUAUAUUGCAGAGCCGACUGGCUUGAUAUCGGAAGUAAGAAUAGCCAGAAUGUGGGCAUUGAUCGUGGUGGUUAUGUAAACCUGGCCUCGUACUCUGAGGGCCAUGUUAAUCAAGACACAAGCCUGGAAUCAUUGUAUCCUAACAGCUUGGAAUGGUUGGAUUCUCACAACAGGUGACAUUCCAGAAAAGGUUGCCUUUUACCUUGUGGGGUUGUUCCAACUGUAAGUCUCUGUUCGAAUCCUUUUCGGCGUUAUGAGAAGUGGACAAGUUUACACACAGUUCUGCCUGGAAGUUGAUUGAUUGGUGGGGGUUACUGGCGUGUGACUUGUGACGUUAAAUUUCCCGGCAUUAUUGGUGGUGUAAAAAGUCACAUUAGUGGUGUUGUAAAAAGACUGGAUAAACAAUUUUUUGUACUGGUUAUUAGAAGUAGUAGUUUUAUAUUAGUCGAGUUUGGAACCACUUGUCAAAAAAUAAAUGGAUGUAGUUAUGAACAAAUAAACUGAAUGGAAUAAAACACAAUUGUUACAAGUAAAUAAGAUCGAACAUGUUCUUAAAUUCCAGAUCUUUUAUUUUAUUUUUUAUUUUAUUUUUUCUAGUUUAUAGGAAGGUUUUGAGAGAACAUAGGAAAAGUGAAUCAAUUUUCUAUUAAAAGAAUUGGCCUUUGAUUAAUAUAAAAAAAGGGUAAAACGAAAAAAUAAACGACAAAAUUUAAGUCAUGUUUUUCAAUUUGUUAGUGCAAAUUCAGAGUACAACGUAUAAUUUUACAAUAAUUUACAUUAAUUUAUUUUUUGACUAGCAUAGAAUAUAUAUAUAUAUAUAUAUAUAUAUAUAUAUAGAUAGAUAGAUAAGUGUGUGUGUAAAUUGCACGUUGUGCAUAUUUCAAUAUAACUUGAUUAAUUUCAAAAUAAUACAAAACGAUUCAAAAUUUGUAACACAAUACAGCUUGAUUUUUUAUUUUUUAUUUUUUGGGGUGGUAUAUGGAUAUAAAUAAGAGUCUUCAUUUAAGCCUCUUCAUGUUAAAUUUUUGUAUUUAAGAAUCAAUAAUAGCCUGAUUUAGCUGUAAUAACACUUGAGUAAUAUUUCCAAGAAAUAGGCAAAUAACCUGUAAAUCUUAAAAGUACUUUAGUAUAAAUAUAAAAACUGUAGAAGAUUUAUAUAUGUGUAUACUUAUAUAUAUAUAUACUUUAGUAUAUAUAUAUAUACUUUAGUGUAUAUGUAUAUACUUUAGUGUAUAUAUAUACUUUAGUAUAUAUGUAUAUACUUUAGUAUAUAAUAAUAUACUAAAGUAUAUAUGUAUAUACUUUAGUAUAUAAUAAUAUACUAAAGUAUAUACAUAUAUAAAUAUAAAAACUGUAGAAGAUUGAUUCUAGAAAUAAGUAGCUAUAAAAAUUGGUUAAACUAAAAAAUAAUAAUUCAUACUUACCCUGGUUCCAUUUAUUUCGAGAAUAUUUUUCAUCCACAUUUUUUCCGUUCAGGCAACCCCUUCAUGCCGCAUAUUAGGGGGCAACGGUCGGCGGAAUAUUCUUUAUAAUCCAACAAUCAUCCUCAAAUCAUCCACGCAAAUCACGCGUCGAACAUUCCAGACGCCGAUGUCCACAUCGACGUUCCCGAACCCAAAAUCCGUUCCCGAUUUCAAAAAGUCGUUCCCGCCUUCAACCACUCCGCAAGCGCCAUUUUAGCAUCCUGAUAGACUUCGUGGGGGGAGCAACGAACGAACGAGUCAUUGCGUUCGUCCGACUGGGAUUAUCGUCGGACAGAAUCCCGUCAGCUCGGCCUCACGUUGACGUAUCGGCCACCGUCUGUUGCAGAAUCGCCGCAUCCGGCACCUUUCGUUCCGGCCAAUACGUGCCGUGCACAAUUUCCAUCCACGCCUCACAAAGGAUUGUUUCGCAACCGCGUAAGGCCCUUUUUUUAGGGGUGAGAUUUCUGGCGGAAAAGAUGGAGAGCGGAGUGUCUUUCCAUCCACGACUUGGAUGGAGGAGGCUAUAAACAUGCUCAGUUCCAAAGAGCACUUCUUUGAGAGGGUGGUGAGGUCUCGCUCUCCUCCGUGUCUGUUCACUCGACGGUAGGCCGUUCCUCCGGCGGAGUUUCGUGAAGGAGCUGUUGCGCAAGCAGCGGUGACUUGUUUCUGUUGUUCUUCUCGUCGUUUUUUUUAUAUUUUGUUACUGGGCUGUUAUUUUUGUUGUUAACCAUCGUUCCGUUCUUGUUUUCGUAUUUUUUUUUAUUUGUGAGUCUUGAAGAUUUCGUGGAUUAGGGUUUGAAGUGAUUUGGUGUAGAUGGAGAUAUAGUGGUGUGGCGUUCUGCAGGGGCAGACAGGGGCAAGUGCUUUGGGUGUCCACGUUUCGUUGUGGGUAGUGCUCGCAGGAGGUUCUUUUUGCAAGUUUACGAAGAUGCCGGGCCUUGUGACCAUGAAACCCGUGUUGAAGUCUAGGGGCUCUGCCUCCAAGGCCUUGUCUAGGGCCAAGGAGGAGAGAGGCCUGGGGGCUCUGCUUUCUCAGAUUCGUGUCUCUCCUGCGAAGAAGGGCCGCUGGUCAGUUGAUCCAGAAGCUUUAGGUGUUCUUACUAGGUCGAAUCUCGCGAUGAAGCUGAGGAUGAAGCUGCUUGGAGAAGGAGCAGAAGGGGAGACUGUUAACGAGGAGGUUGAUACUUCUGGAGGCAAGCACGAGCCGAGCUCUGUGUGCCUAGCGGCAAUGGUGGACGAGUUUUUGGAAGACGAUGAUUUCGAGGGUAGCCGUGGUCGUUGUCGUUUGAGCUUUGACGAUGAGCCUAGAAAUAACGACGACGAUUCAAGGUCAUCCCUUGUAGACGAACUCAUUGCCGUACUCCACAGCAGCGCUGACAACAUACCGGAGAGGAUUGUUUUUUGUGAGGUCAGCAACUUCAUCUCCAUCACUAAGCCUGGAUUGAAUUCCGGUGAUGGUGUGAUGAGUUCUCUCAAGCGUCAGGUUAUGAGGUACUUGCGUCGUGCCGGUUACAAUGCUGGUCUCUGUAAGUCCAGAUGGGAUCACUCAGGGGGGUUUCCGGGUGGCGACUACGAAUACAUUGACGUCGUAUUCGAAAGUCCAACCGGACGAUUCGAGCGGAUUUUGAUCGACAUUGACCUAAGAGCCCAGUUUGAGAUUGCCCGUCCAACUGCCCAGUACGACAGCCUUGUGCAAGCUUUACCAUCCAUUUUCGUCGGCAGGGCCGAACAGCUUCAUUGGAUUGUUAACGUUAUGUCUGAUGCCGUCAAGCUGUCGUUGAAGAAACGUGGAAUGCAUUUACCACCAUGGAGGAGGCCUGAGUACAUGCGAGCCAAGUGGUUCUCUUCUUACAAUCGGACUACGAGUGACAUCUGGGAUAAGCCCACCGAGAGUGAGUUGCCACAUGGUUCUGUUGCCUCUGCGAGUGGAUAUGGAUGCCAUAAUACGGACUUGGUGGCAAGAGUCGCGGAGUUCCCGAGGCCAGUGGAGAAACCUGUUGGGGAAGUAACGAACACAACCGAGAACAGGUUUGACGCUGGUGGGGAGACCCAGAAGACUGCCGGUUCUGUUGAUAACAACGACUGGAAUCCUCCAGUGUUGAAAGCAAAGAAACUUCAGGCUCCUGGGCUUGCGUCGAUGUUCAGGGAGGGCAGUCUUUCGGCCUCAAUGAAGAACAUGAGGGCCUCAGAACGGAAGGAUCUGGUGAUGGUGGCAUAAGAAGUAGAUUUGCUCCAUCUUCGAAGACUAUCAAUUUUGAAAGCACACUUAUUCUUUUUUCAUUUGUACAAUACACCUUCGUGCUUGAUGUGCGGUGCCGGUUUACACAUCCCCAUCGAAGGUGAUACAUUUUGAUGAAGGCUACGCUGUUGAGUUAUAGUUUGUGCGAGAUAUUUAGAAUAUUGAGAAAAAAACAUAUAUAUACAGAAAAAACGUCGGCAAUUCAUGGGAUGGUAGCCCUACUGCCCAGUUAGGGCCGUCCCGCCAAAGAAAGAGUUUAGAGUUGUGUUCCUUUUUUGUUGAGUUUGUGGAACUAUUAAUUCCACUAGAGUUUUGUGAGUGUUACAUUUUUGUAGUGUGGGCGGUGUACAGAGUAUGGUUGGACACGUUGAAUUUGCCUUAAGAAGCGGGUCGAAGAAGCAGGGCUCGAGUUACGCAGGUUACUGAGUCGGGAGUUUAGUUGGGCUUUGAAGCUGCUUGAUAUGCAGUGCUGAUUAUUGAGAUUGGAAAAAAUUUCAAAACAAUAUAAGUUAUGGGAGAAUAAAGCAGUCAAUGCUAUAUGUUGUUUUUGUGCAUCGUGAUAUGUUGUGUUUACAGCUGGUGUCUUUCUUUUCACGCUCUUCUAAGCGUCAAUUUGGUUUUGUUGGGGGGAGCAGUUAUUUCAUCACGUGCAUUAUAUGCUCCGAUUUUCUUUGUACUGACUCUGACUAUCAGCCACUACUUGAGUGGCAAAUGUGCAGUUGGUGCGUCGAUACGAUUUUACCGAAUGAAAGGAAAUUUUCAAGUGCUAUCACUUGAAUGAGCGUCAACCUCUCCGAAAUGCAGAAAUAACAUUAUCCACACUUCGGAUGUGUUGCGAUGGAUGAACGAGCGGAGCAGCGCUCAUUUUUUCCGGAAACCAAGUUCCACCACCAUAUAUAAGUCCACAAAGAGCAAUAGAAAUUUGUCUUCCUACAGAGACACAACUUCAGAUGGAGUGAAAAAAGGUAAAUAGAAGUGUUUCUCAUAUCAAGGAAUAGACAAGCCUCAAGCAUUGAGCGAGAUUGUAAGACACACUUUCGCUUCCUUUCCGUCUCGUGCAGGGCACGUAAUCUGUAUGGUGGAAUCGAUUAAUGAACAACAAUAAUAAAUACAGCUUCUGAAAGUUGAGACUCAAUUCGAGUGUCGAAAGCUUCCCACUGAACACCACCAGAUUAUCGCUUAAUAGUGAAUAUCCAUCAGGAUAGAAGUGAAACGAAAGCUCAUUUCUUCUCAACCCUGAGAGUCGAACUUCCUUCUCUCCAGCGCCAUGCUGACCACUGAGAAAACGUGAAAAUUAAACCACACAAGGAAAAAACAACAACAAACGAAGCAAAAGUGAGGAAAAGAAAAGAAAAUGCGAUAAAAUACAAGACCCUCUUCCACUGCUUUGUAUCCCGAAUGUGGAGUCUGCUGCUGCUGCUAAAUGCACAUUAAAAAAAAGACUGAAAUGUAGAUGAGAAAAUAUGACUGAAUAUAUAUAUAUGUAUAUAUAUAUAUAUAUUUAUGUGGGUGUGUGUUAAUAUUGAACCUGGCAUAUCCUUCAUAGAUUCCAAAAGUUAGGCGCACUUGAAGAAUUAGCAUAACUCUCACCCUGAGAGCCUAACAAAUCACUUCGCUUGCAUGUCUCCUUUUCAAUGCAUUAAAAUUCACUGGCAUGAGCAGUACCCACCAACCGGAUACCUCACUGGUUGUGAGCGCUGAGGCGCCGCAUUGCCUCUCCAUAAACGCCGUUCCAUUGCUACCAUAUCUUCUCUUUUCCGAAGCCACAAACUGGUGCGCUUCUGUAUUUUUCUUACUAAAAUCUUCUAUAAUCACACACUUCCACAUCCGGCACUAAUCUGGGCUGCUCUGAGACUCUGCUUAUCGUGCCUGUAAGCAUGCUUUUUGCUCUUGGCUUGAGCCACAAUUUGUGGGUCUGCUUACUUGGGCCCCUUCUCUUAUUCACUUUUCUUCACAACUCUCGACUGCGUCUCAGUUAGUUGUAUCAAGACAAUUCCUCAUGCUGUCUGUGUUAAACGGCUUCAGUGCGAUGACUCCACUCACGCAGAGUAGUUUGAACAUCGUUUUGAACUCUGUGCGUUCGGUGUCUGAUCGUGCAUGCACGACUGCCGCUGUAGCCAGCCGUCGAACUUAUCCUUAAUCCAACAGUGUGCUCGUGGGAAUACCAACAUCUGCUUCGAACCAGAAGUUGUUGCCAACUUGAGUUUCCGAUCAAACUGACCACAGUCCUCUAGGACGUGCAGCGCUUCGGUGCCAAGCUCUGCGAGCGGGACCUUCUUGGUGCAGAGCAAAGCCUGCUGGAUGCUGGUUGAGCAGAUGGGGUUGAAUCCUAAGGUGGUUGUGAAUGACUCUUCGAAGUAGAGCAUUGAGGUGUUUGCUGAAUCAUGCCGCAGGAAUGACACUGCGCCAACUCAGGCUUCGAAGUUGCUCAUGAUCAUGUUGACGGAUAGAGAGCUGUAGAAACCAUCGCGGCUCAUUUGAUAGACUAAUAAUGAGUUCUUGCGAUAUUUUCAUUUCACUUUGGGUUAGCUUGGCAUUCACGUCGGAAUAGAGCACUGCGAAUUUGCAACACCGCCGUCACAGAAAUGUUGAUUGAUUCUCCAUUUCAUAGAGUCAAAUAUCAGUGCCGAAUCGCAUGUUAUAUUGACCUUUAGUUCCAGCUUCACCCACUUUACGAUGACGAUAAUACAAGGUUUACAGUCUUCAGCUAGCUGCAUGAUGGCCAGUUGUUACGGAGGUGAGUAAGUUCAAAACAAAGCGAUCUAGAUUUGUAAACUCUCUUCCAAGUCAUUUCACCACCGUUAAAGUUAGGACUCAAUCCUAUUGAAGUGCGAUAUUAUUGCAGAAGUUUCUAGUCUGCAGUUGCAUUCAUCGGGGAUCUCGCCUGACAUCCACGAAUCGAUGGAUGCAGGCGCUUUAGAGUUGUGAAAUGACUGGGAGUAGAUCCGUCGACUUGUUAUCCUUUACGUGGCCUUGAACGUGGUCGACAUGAGAAACCAACCAUCGUUAGAUUCACGUAGAGAGACACCUCCACCGCGGACUUAAAACUCUUCAUAUGCCUCUAAACUUCCCAAGUUCAUCAGCGUUGUUAGAAACAGCAUUUGUUCGCAGUUUGCUCUGGGAAGUAUACGCUUAGAAGCAAACCACUACGAAACACGGUGGUAUAUCCUUACCGACGUAGAGAAACCAAAUAAUGUCGCAAGGGUCACACUCAUUCUUCCAUGCAGUUACUGUCACUCUCGCCUGCAGGUCAUAAAUUCGAAGGUGCCGCAGAAUAUAACCAAUUCUGGAGACUGUGAUAGGUCUGCGGUUCUAAACCAACCAAACUCUGGUUCUCAACAGAAUAUCCGUUCAUGUCAAGGACCAAACUGUUGUGCAAGACUAUCAUGUCACACUGACCGUAUUGCGAUAAGUUGGUGUCUCAUCCAGUUUUUCUGAAGAACAAAAUAUACUUGCCCUGUGGGUACCUGAUGACAACAGUUCGUCGCUGACUAGAUAAAAGUCACGAAGUCUGCAAUCUUUUGUACAAAACCACGUUGAAGAGGACGAUGGGUUUUGUAGACAUGAUCCAUUACAAGGCCUUGAACUUGCUGUAAUGUUCAGAACUUUAACAAGUUGUCUCAAAGGCGAUGGAUUUGGUUCAGAGUAUGUAGAAUAGACGGCUGUUACCGACGAGGUUUUUAUUUUUAUUUUUUCUGUAGUUUUGGCAUCUAGGCAAUGUUACUCCAGAAAACUAAUGCAAUCGAGGGGUUGUAAUGAAGUCGUUUCUUUUCUGCUCGAUGAGCGUUGCGUAAUUCGAUCGAAUCGACAAGCGUGCAGUCCUUAUGUAUGGGCCUGUUGCAACAGAAGAGAAAGCUUCCAAAUCUACUGCAGCUCACUUGUUGAACUAUAAGCUUUGUUCACAAAACCCUAAGAACUAGACCCCCUCGCAGAACGACCACCACAUCAGUGAUCCAGUGGUGCACUUUCAAAUGAUCUAGUAUAUUCAUGAAUCGUUUGAACGCUUGGAAUGUUUAGACGCUUCAACCCCGACUUCAGGUGACCUUUUGCAUGACUUCACAAGGUGAGACUUCCACCAGCGUCGAUCUCAUAUAUCUAUCUACCGUCUCACCUUUCCACAACCUGAAACGCACAUAGAAAGCUUUGCAUUCUACAUAACUGAUCAGUCACCAAAACAUGAAGUUCAGUGUUUGAGAUCAGGCACAGAUCCGAUGCUUCAACCAUCUAGAACCUCAAAAAAACUCGUGAACCCCACGUUUGCGUUGCCAUGUGGGUUGCGACCAAGGCGCUAGAAACUGGGUUUGGAGGCAAGUUGCAAGGAUCUGAGACUUCACACCAUACCCCCAACUGUUGGAAAACCUCGGAAUGUGUGCAACUUGCUGAACUGACAACAGCUGUAAAAUAAAAAAUCCAAGCAGAAGAAGAAAAAGAAUAAACCACAGUUUGGGUGCAUGUGAUAUGAGGGUAGAGAGUUGCCGAAGACCAUGCAAAAGAAUAGAAAAGGGGGUGUGGAUAUUUGUUUAUUUGGAUAUUUGACUAGUCCUCAUGCAAUGCAACGAAGACUAUGACAGUUGAACUGUUUUAUUUUUCUGUCACUGACACUGCAGGAGGGCAUGGGAGUUAGUGAGUUGUAGAGGGCUGUGAUUUUGAAUACUUCUACUAUUAUUAUUAUUAUUAUUAUUUUUCUCUACCAUGCACCCAGCAUCUGAUUCAUCACCCCCUGCUUCUUCUGCUUCUUCUUCUGCUACUUCUACAGUCUUGAAGUUUGGGUUGUUUUUAUUGUUUGUUUGUUUAGUUGGGUGUUCUGAUGCCUCUUGUAAGGGAUGUAGAUUCUAUGGAUUUGAAUUAUGUGUGUGUGUGAGUGUAUAUAUAUAUAUAUAUAUAUAUCUCUAGGGGAGGUGUGCAUUUAUGUAGCUGUGGUUGCUGAAAUGAAUUGGAUUUUUUUUGUGAAUCAGGUAAACAUGAACUUAUGUGGGUGCUUUUUAUUUUUACUUGACAGUUUUGCAAUGAGAUAAAUAUAGAACCUACUGAGUUAUGAUUAAAAAUAAAAUAAAAAUAAAUAAAACUUAAAAACUUAAAAUUUUAUCCUUCAUUUGCAAUUUUACAUUUGUUUUGGGGAUUUUUUAAAAACAUUAUUUCAAUCUUGUUCAAUCCUUUUCAAUUAAACUAACUUAACAAUAAUAAAUAUAAUUAUAAAACUUAAAUUAGUCUUUUAUAACAUACAAUCAAAGACCAUCUUAUCAAGUCUUGAAAUAUAACCGACAAAACUAUAAAUUACAAAAGAUUCUUUUACUUCAAGCCUCUAUGAAUAUCCUCAUGUCUAACUAUAAUUUUUUGAAAAUCAUUUUAACCUAAUUACAUCAUGUCCUUAACAAAGAAUUUAAAUUUUAUGAAUUAGAAUUUAUUCUUUAUAAAUUUCAACAUUUUUAUUGAAUUUAACUUUACUUGACACCAAAAAUUUGAAUAAAAGUAUAUUUUAUUUAAAAACGCUCAAAUUAAAUUUCAUCAAAGUAGUUAACAAUUUAAGAAAUCAUCUAAUUUUUGUUACAUACAUACACAUAACAAUUUUUUAGAUUAGUUAAAUAAAUGUCAAGAAAAGUGUUUUUUUAAUAGUAAAACUACAUAUGUACAUAAAACAAGUUUUAGAAUGAUUUUAGGAAUGUAGAAUCAAAAAAAUUGCCAAAGGACUUAUCAAAUAAAAAUCAUUCUUGUAACCACAAAUUGGUAUUAAAAUAACCAUAUUUACUUGGGAUGUGGCUACUAAUGUAUUUACCUUGUAAUUGAUACAUGCUAUUGUCCAUAAAGCAAGUUCCUAAAUUAUAAGGCUCAAACUUAUUAGUUAAAUAUUUAACAUGUUUCAAAAUAUAUAUAUAUAUAUAUCUUUUUUUGUAUUCAUAAAUGAAUUUUUAUAGGAUUCGUUAAAAGUGCAUUCAUCUAUUCACAAUUUAAAAUCUAUAUAUAUAUAUAUAUAUAUAUAUUUACUCUGUAUGAAAUAAAAUAAUAUUUUUUAAAACAAUUUAUUGUAAAGGAACGAAAAUACGAAUUUAAUUACACAACAUAACUUCACACAAACCCAACAAGCUGGUAUUAUUUGACAGCAUUGGAGUUAAUUUGGUUAAAUUUAGAUGCUUUCUGAUAUCUUCUUUUAAUGUUGUAAUCUUAUCAACAAUUAUUUCGAUUAUUCGUAAUAAUUUAUAAAUAAUUAAAUUAAAAAAUAACCAUCCUUAAGUUAAUAGCAAGUUUUUUUUAUUAUGGCUAGUUUUACAAUAAACAAUUAAACCAUAUAAUCAAACAUUCGAGUUAAAAGAAAUUCUUAGAUAACUUUUUAUUUUUUAUUUUUCUUAAAACCCCCUUUCACAAAAUAUUCUGAUCAGAAAAACGUUGCUAAUGUAUCACAAAAUUCAUUAAUGAAAUAUUUUAUUUAAUGAAAAUUUAUAUAACUAAGAACUUUUCUCAAGGAUUCAUCAAAUGCAGAUUGUCAACAUGUACACAAUGAUAUGAAAAAGCAAAUGCUACAUUUCAAUAAUUCAAGUCUUACUGUAAACUUUGAAUGUGAUGCCUCCCAUUUCAUUCUAUUUUAAAAUUUUUAAUAACUCUCACCAUUAUUGGUCUAUGUCAUGUCAAAACACCAAACCUAUGAUACUUUUGUCCACACUUGAUCUCACAUCUAAAUCUUUAAUUUAUAUAUAUAUAUAUAUAUAUAUAUAUAUUCACAUUCUUAUUCUAUUUUUCAUCUUUUUAAAAGACAAAUAAGUUGUGGAUUGGUACAUAAGACUAGUGAUGGAGAAGUGUUUUGCAUACAUGCAAAGAUGUCUCAUAUCCACAGCCUUGGUUUUGUCCCUUAUUGCCCCUCUUUGUAUGCCAAAAUCACGGUGGGACUGUAAUCACACAAUUGGAAUAUGAGAAUGGAAUGUGUCAUGUGGUUAAAAAAAAACAAAGAAAGAAAAAGGGACCCAUUUGUAAGCACUAGAUGUUUUCAUUGUCUCUAUGAGGUGAUAAAUAUAUGGAUGGAUGUGGAUAAUAAUGCUUUUUUUUUUUUUAUUUAUUUUUUAUUUUUUUUUAAGAAAAGGUUAUGAAGAUUUUGGUGUGUGACAUUUGACUUUGGUUUUGAUUUUUAAAAGAGCAUCUUCACCUCCUUCUCAAAUUUUUAGUUAUUUCAUGAGUCUUGGGUUUCUUGCAUUGCAUUUCUGAUGUCUUGCAAUACAUUAUUUAUGGAAUUGAGGUUAUUGUUUCGUUUAAGCAAAAGUCUCAAAAGAGUCAAAUAGGGAUUGUAUAAUUAUUACAAUUAAUCUUUUGUGACUUUCUAGCCUUGCAUCAUUAAAGCAAAUUUUAUAUAUUUUUUUUCUAAGUUGAGUUGUGCUAGAUUGCAGGGUGGGAUCUUUUGGUAUGACCUAAUCAAAUUACCCUAAGCUUGUUUAUGGUAUCUCAGAUUUUAACGUGCUUAAAUUUGAUUCCAAUAUAAUACAUGAUUUUUAGAAUAAGUUAUAGGUAAACAUUAAAAAUUAAAAAGAUAUAUUUUUUUUUAAAAUCUUUCAACAUGAUUCAUGAACGAGAGCUAAGUUCAUUGUAUUUAAUACUCUUCAUAGUUUUGAAAUAGAAAUAGCAAUACUUUUUAUUCAGCAGAUACUUAAAAAUUAGAAAUUAUUAUUUUCAUUAUUAUUAUUCACCAUGUCACUUAACAAAAAUCGAUUAACAUUUUUUAUUUUGAAAGUACAUACAUACACAUGUGCACCGAAUUGAUUCAUUCAAAAUUUAAUGGAAAAGAAUGGUGAUCCAUAACAAAUGAACCGCAUCAAACAAAAAAAAAAAAAAAAAAAAAAAAGUGUAUAUUUGCAUUCCUCUUUUAUUUUAUUUUCUUUUCUUCCCAUAAAGAAACAAAUUCGGUUAAAAAAAAGGCUUCAGACUCUGAUUUUAAUUCUAAUUAUCCUCUCACAAUUACCAAAAUUUAUUUUGGAAAUGCUCAGAAAUUGCUUUAUCAAAUAGUAAGGAUGGCAAGUGGCUUUAAAAAAAGAAGAAACAAAGAAUCAUAUCACCCCAAAAGAAUCAAUAUCCAAAAUCCCAAAUAUAAAAUUUAAAAUAUUAAAAUAAAAACCAACAUAAAAAAUGGGGUUGUAGUUUCAAGUAAUAAAAAUAAUGAGGAAUGUGAUGGAGUGAAACACCUACUCUCUCAAGUUAAUUAAUGCUUUUGGUGGUCAAAGUGUCAUCGAGAGCCAAUGAAUGAGCAAAGCACAAAACCUAAAACACUUUGGUAGGCAAAAAUAAACUUCAUUUACUAUUUAUUAUUAUUGUUAUUUGUUAUUAUUUUUGUUUUAUAAUUGGUCAAAUGGAGCACACAAGAAUGUAGUUGGGUACCAUACCAAAGCCCCACCCACACAAAUGAGCUUUUGUUAUUCAAAUCCCACACCAACCUCACUUAAUGAAACCAUCUUCCAUACUUCCUCCUCCCAAUGCCAAUAUGAGUCUUUACUAGGGCCUCAAGUAAAAUGGUGACCAAAGUAACAUUCAUUUGUGGUGGAAGAUUUGAUUUUUAUUCUUUACUUAUAUGCAUUAGACAUAAAAUAGGGUUGGUUGUGUGAGAUGAGGGAAUGGGAUUCGUUGAAAUGGGUGAUAAGUUUUAUUGGAGUUGCACUAUUUUAGAUGAAGGAUUUGUGUCGUUAAAGUUGAACAAAUCUUUAUCCAAAGUCAGAAAAUCAUGGUUUCUUUCUUUAGGUGAAUAUCACGCUGCAAUCCCGGUGUAAAGCAUUCGUCUUCAUGGUCAAUAAUAAAUAAGGUUUGCCUUAUUGAAAAUUCUUAGAAUUUAGUGGAAUUUAACGGAUGUAAUCAUCAUGUCUUGUAUACAAAUUAACCCUAAAAAUCCAACGUAUGUUCAAAGAAGUACAACCUCAACUGCAAAUUGGUGGUCCAUUCGUAGUAUUUCGCAACAAGGUUUUUUUUUUUACAUUUUUUUAAAUUUUAUUUUUAGUUUUAUUUUUGUAGUUUUGUUCACAAGAUCCAAAUUCUAGACUGAGAAUUGAAGGUGACGUGGACAAAGAUAUGAACAAACCCUAAAUCCGGCCACCACGACACGCAACGAAGCCCUCACUCACUUCGCACGGCGUGCAAACCUGCCAGACGGAUUUCAGUAGCGCGAUGGCAAGCUCGACGAGAUUGAAAUCAACUCAGAGGCAUAGAAUUCGCGACCCCAUCCGCCAUCGCCACGAACCCUCUCCUUAUCGACCAAGAGAUCACUCCCGAGGUCGCCAAGUUUCGAGAGCGAAGUGGCCCACACAGAGUCAACAGCAACUCCCUCGUAGUAAGUAGGUAAUGUGUGCGUGUGUGUGUGAGAGAGAGAGAGAGAGAGAGAGAAUUGCCCUUUUCUUCUUCUUCGUCCCGAGUUGCGGAAAGGGGAGACACCGCCUCGCCACGCCUCCCAGAGCACUUCGUCAUGGCUGCGAAACCCUAAUCCUAGAGCACACCACAUGGCGAGAAUAAAACAAGCGGGGGACGAAUCCCAGUCGCGAGGGGGGGGGGGCUCUAUCGACGUGGCAAGUUCCACGGCCACGGACCCAGUAGUGGGUCGGCCAUAGGUUCACGGCCAUUUGUCCCACACGGCCACGAGUCCGUGCGAGAUAUGCGAUGGACACCUGUACUUUACAUCAGGAUCGGUAUGUGUGCAGUGAUUGGUGGAAAAUAUUGGAUGAAUAGUGGACUAAUGGACGAAUGUCGGGUAGUGAUGAUUAUGGGUCGUCGUUCAUGCUUGAUGAUCCCUGGGACUAUUUUGGUUAUACUUUUUGGGGAACUUUUUGUGGGGAACUUUGCGAGGAAGCCUUUAUAUUUUGUAAAAUUCGAAAUAUUUAUUUUGGCCGCGGAAACUGGUGGGGCUCGCAAAAGACCGUGGCUUGGUACUUGAGACCAAAGUAUCUGAUCUAUUCACCCUCUCCUUGUAAGGUCACUUUCCCUUGAGGGGUGCUGGGGCCCAUUUAAAAAAACCCUCCCGAACUGGUAAAUAUGUUAAUAACAAUAAUCUAAAAUAAGUCCAUUCCGCUGCUUAGGACUGAAGCUUGGGACCUAUGGCAGAGGACAACUUGGAAGGGGGUGAGUGGAUCCCCACAAUUACCCGGACAUGUGGAUUUUACUUGCCGUUCAUAGAGGGAAUAAAUAUAAUUGACCCAGUCAUUCCUAGAGGGAAUAAAUAUGAUUGAUCCAGUGCGCGUGACAUGUUUCGAACCCGCGUGAUGAAGGUUGGGAGGAAUAGAAUCUCCAACGUGGCGGGAAAAAGAUGGGGCCGGGGGAGGAGUGAUUAACGAUGGUCUGGCUGUGGUAGAUAUCAGGGACGGGGAAGUGAAACCGCGCGGAGGGAGUUACUGCAGAAAUAUCUGCAAAAGGGCCUCGUACUUUUGCGGCAUUCACAAUCAGCAGAAGCCCCCAGAAGACGCCACGUUUUGCCGUGGGCGGCUCCCACCGCCCAACACGUUGCGGCCCCUCUGCGUUGGUUUCAUGCCUUCCAGGUCGCUUCGUCCGUCCGCCCGUUCUUUUCGUUCGUCCGUCGCGACUCUCACACGUUGCCCUUUGUUUCUCUCCCAGUAUAAACCAUAAAUACGACCCAGAUUUUGUCUCUGGAUCCCUUCCCGGCGAAACUAAGCCUGUAGUUGCUCUUCGAAAUCCACAACCUUCUACUUCUUCUUCGUCCAGUGGAGGUCAUCGCAACUAAGGUUGUACCACCAUUCUGUGCACAGUCAUUGCGUACUUCUGUGGCGAGGUCCGUGCAACAGCAGCUGAAUCCGUUGUUGAAUCGAGCGUGAGUGUGACAUAAGUGAUUCACUUGGGUGGGGUACACGCGCUCGGGAAGAGAGUGAAGUGAGAGGAGAGGAGAGUAGAGAAGAGGGGAGGAGGAUUUUUUUUUUUUUCUAUAUGAUUAUCGAGGAUUUAGUGGGUUUGUUGUUGUUGAAUUUCCAGGCGAUUUGGAAUGUGGUGGAUAGAGCUGGAUUGGGUUUUUUGAGUAGUGGUGAUCUAGGACCGAGGGGUGUGAGGAUUUCAGAAGUUUCUGGAAUUUUACUGGGUGGGGUGGUCGAACUGUGUCAUCGAUUGAGGUAGUUGUGUAUCGUGAGCUUGGGAGAUUGGGUGUGUAGUUUUGGUAGGUGUGGGUCGAGCGCUCCAAGCAGUGUGCGGGGUAGGAGUCUCUCGAUGGUUUCCCAAGUGUAGUGACGUUUUGUUGGGCCGAUAUCAGUUGCCAAGCUGCAGCGAUCGGUGGUUUUUGUCCCGCUGAAGAGGAUUCGAUUGCGACUUCGAAGAUGCUGUCGGCAGUCCUUCAGGAAUUCGAAUUCUGACAGCAUUGUGCCUUCGCGCGAGGAAUUCCCGUUCCUGCGGAAUGCCACUGGUGUCUGCAGAUGAAUUUGCCUUGAACUCGUGAAGUUCCUCUAGUAUCAAUUGACAAGAGUUCCGAGUCAGUUGGGGACGAAGUAACCCGAGAAAACCAGUCCUCAAUUGUAACAUAGAUUUUUCCUGAUCGUCGGCGUCUCCUUAUCAGCCUUGUCAGUGUAUCGAAUUUCUCGCAUUGACCUCAGAUUUCACAGUCUCGACCUUUUCGAUGAUCCAGCUUUCUACCAUCCUAUCGCCUUUUCGCAGUUGGUGCAGGGUCUUGCAAAGAUUGCAGCACAGGCUCUCAUUCUUUAGACCAAACGAAGGUGUCAGUUCCAGUGGUCGUAUUAAAUUCCUGUAAGCUAUCAGGUAGGACUGUCUCCUCGUUCCAAACCCAGUUCGCCGAAGGGACGGAGUUUUAUUACUGUCGCGAUCGUUCUCUACAUUCCGAGGAGGUUUCGUUGACAUCCGGGAAAUUUCAUUCUGGAAACAUAUCUGGGUAGUAGCGAGAGAGAGAAAUGAGCACAAAUUUUGAGUACACAGAGGGUUUGACAGUGCUCUUUGUCCAACACAGUAUACCACUACCACUAAGAAGGCUCAAAACUGAAACAAUUCUGCCAAUUCGUUCAUGAAGGAGAUUCUUAUCGAGGAGAAAUUCGCUCACAUCGAAAGUCUCCGAAAUCACGGUUGAAGAAGACCUGUUCGUGCUCGAUGGUUGAUCCGGACCGCAGACCAGACCGCGAUACGCGUUGGUGGAUGUACUGUCAACCUCACAUUCGCGCCCUUAGGGAAGUCAUGUACUCAGCCAACGCGAACAAAGAAGUGGAGAUACUCUUGCAGAAGUGUGUCUCCCUGUACAUGGCCACGAUCAACUAUAAUUCGUCGCUUGACGACGAGAAGAUUUACAUUGCUCUCACAGGUUGAACGAGUCGCCUGCUCUCAUUGCUAUCAUUUCUCUGUACCCUCUAGAAUGCGAUAUUUGUUCAGAACUUCACUCUUUUGUGCAAUCUGAUCAAUUUCACAUUAUUUCUCAGGAGGUUUCGUCACAAGUAUGGAGGCGUCCUUUAUGUGGAUCGGAGGAUGGCGUCCCACCACAGCUUUGCUGCUCGUCUACUCGCUGAUGGGUGUCCAACUGGAGGACGAGAUUCGCAACUUCGGCUAUGGUAUCCGGGACACGACGAAUACCUCGGCGGUCCUCUCCCACAGGCAGCUAGAGAACCUGACGAACGUACAAAAGAGCACCCGCAACGUGGAGAAGAAGCUCUCUAAAAAGCUGGCUCACCUUCAGGUAGAUCAUUCAACCUCGACACUCUCACCCCAAUGCCCAGUUAGACUUGGUCUUGCGGUCUUCAUAGAAUGGUUGCAGGCGAUCAGUUGCAGGCUAGGAUUUGGAAAUGGUAAUGGCAAUGAAAAUGAAAAAACUAGCAUUGGCACUGGGCUCUGGCACUGGUACUUGGUACUAUGAAUCUCUUCGUCCGCUGACGGUGGUGACGUCUUACACAUCACUGGGUAGGUGUAUACUAAAGGACGUGCUGACACACGUGCAGAUGCUUAUAAGCGACCAAGAUGUGCUUGCAGCCGUAAUGCAGGUAGAUUCAUCAACAAGUAGGUCAGGCUCCAAGGCUAACCCUGACAUAAGAACAGUCCUCAAGCCUCGAAUGUCGCGACUAAAGAAACUACUGAUACAGGCAGACCAACUGCGUUUACACACACUCCACCAGCUCUUUCUGGUUCUCACCCCAGUGCAAGUAGCUCGCUGCGCCAUAGCCUCAUUUGAAUUGGCGUUUAUGAUGCGUGAGCUCGGCAAUUCGGCUCACUGUAGGAAUUUACAAACUGCAGUCCCAUCUUCUUCUAACACAUUCACUUCCCAAAGUCAAGGCGACUUUGAUGUUCAAUCCUCUAGAACUUUGCCCUCGCGGCUGGAUACUGGCCCCAGCUGCAGCACUAAGGAUUCUGGCACUAGUGUAGAAGAGUGUAGUGUCGACGAUUGAUGUGUCUCAGUCUACAUUUAGAUCUAGGCAUAUAUAUAUAUAUAUAUAUAUAUAUACAUACAUAUCUAUCUAUCUAUAAAUGUAAAUGUAUAUGUGUGUGCGUAUGAUACGUAUUGGCUGCCAAGAGUUGCUCGUGUUUACAAGGGCCACUCUAUGCGAUAGUCUAACUCCUCAAAGUCGAUCUAUGUGCCAGCAAAGCCUGCAGUGAGUGCCAUUGCCGGUGCCGUCCUCUCUUCAUCAGAUUUUGGGAGUUGGAUCCCCCGGUGCGGUGCAGAUCGAUGCGAAGUCUGAGCCAGGCCGACUCCUAACGGGCCCAAACUUCUGGAAAGAGCUAGCUGCGGCAUUGUGAUGGUUAAAUCUACUCCUGGCGGCAAGAUCAUUUGAAGGAAGGCGAGAUGAGGGUAAGCAUUGUGAGGUUCCUAGUAGCAAUGUCUCGCCAUUUUGUUAGAUAUCUGGUGCAAAAUUAGAGAGAAAUCAUUUCUGUAACCUCACUGGUGCUUUACGUUCUGUCUAGAAUUUUAGUACAGGUAGCUUUCAGAUUUUGUUGAGCGGUGCAUUGGUUUUGCCGUAAUGAUGUGGGCAGUUUUCCCACAGCGUUAAGUUCAGCUUGCCGUAAAUGAUGGGGUCUUGUCUAGUCUUCACGAUAUCGUCAUUCCCCUCUACUUGAAAUUUUGGGUCAUUUGCAUUUACAUUUCUCAACACUUAGGAAGAGUACUUAUUCAUGUAUGAUUUAUGUGCCACACGGAAACACAACAUAUUUCUAUCCCCUCUUUCGAAAUCGAGGGCUAUUGUAUCCUUAGGGUCGCUCUAUUGAGAAGCCAUCUUCCUCCCUGCAAAAUGAUGCGCGGGUGAUGAUGACAAACUCUUGCAACUAUAUUGGCUAUGGUUCAGCUCUACAGGUACAGCUAAACAUCACAUGCUAAGGUGAUCGAAGAUGGUCAGCCUGGAGGCUGCUAGCAACGGCUGCCUGAACCCAUCGACAAAUGCUGAUGGAAGAACUUCUGUAUUUCGAUGGCAGUUACCUACCGAUAGUGGUGACAGUAGAUGGAUAUGAGGACAUUUACGAUUGAAUUCUUUAGUUUAUGAAGAAAAAGGACAAAAGGUCUUUAUACGAUCAAGGAGCGUAAAGAAAUGUCUCCUAUGCUCUUUUGUAUACCAUUCAGUUCUUCACACUGGUAAUAAACUUGUAAAAGUUCAUUCAACAGAUUCUUGGUUUCAUCGUGCUUAAUAGUGUGCUUAGAAAUUCCACUGCAUUGACGUCCUUCGUAGUUCAGCACAUCGGCACUGCAACAGAAAUUUAGGAUCAUGAUUUGAACACAAUCAGGCUCACAACAACUGAAAAGAAACAACACAAAAAUCUUAUUUCAUUUCUAAGCCUACUAAUCGGAUCUUAGAAUACCAUACUGAAGCACCACAUAACCACUGCAUUAGCCAAAUCCUAAUCCACUGAUUGAGCUCUACUACAUACGGAGCAAACGUUAAACUGGUUUUUCUCUUCACACACAUUUCUACACAAAAAUCAUCAUAACCAGGCUUUGAUUGGCUGUGACACUGGUUAUUUUCUAUCUACAACCCUGUUCACACUUUACGUUUUUUUUUUUUUUUUUUUUUUUUUUUUUUUCUUUUGUCUUUUGUCUUUUUUUUCACUCUAAAAAUUCUUAAUUUCAUUAAUUCCAACACGUAUGCUUGAAAAUAUUGAAAAUAAGGAAUGAAAUUAAGACAUUAUUAUUUUAAAACAAAGCAUCACUUGGAUAUUUACCACUCAAAAGGAAUAUCCCUAAAAGUUAAACAAGUAUAAUGUUCCAUUAACUAUUAUCCUUCAAUAUAAAAUAUACAAAUUAAGACAAUUUUGAAUGUAUAAAAAAGUUUUCUUUUUCUUUUUCUGAUUGUUAUCAUUUUCUUUAAAAUAAUAUUUUAAUCAAAUGUUUUACUGUAAUAAUAUUAUAAAAAUAUCAAAAAUACAUGAGACCAAAUAAUGAAUAUAAUAAUGAUAUAUUAAAUUUAUGUAUUUGAAUUAUAAGAUUGUACAUUUUAUAGCAAUAGUUUUAAUAAAUAAAAUGGAAUUUAAUAUAUUUAUAUAAAUAUAUAAAAUAAAAUAAAAUCUUUAAAGUAUACUAUUUAAAAAUGCCAUUUGGUUUAUGCAAAGAAGCAAGCAAACAAGAUUGAUCAAAUUUUGAUAAGUUAAGUUAGAAACAUGAUAGCCAUUCAAAACAUUACUUGAACUCAAUAUUCAUACAAAAAUUUAAUAUAUUUUUAUGUUAAAUUGUUACAUCUUUUAUUAAAUUUUAGAAAAAUAAUUAGAUGCCAUAUUUAAUAUGAUAUAUAUAUUCAAAAAUAUAUAUUUGAAUAUACAUAUUUAAAAAAUAUGUUUAUAAGAUUUAAAAUAUGAAACAUUUUUUAAAAGAAUAUUUUUUAGCAAUAGUAUAGUAACAAAUAAAACUUGUUAAGAUAUAAGAUAUUAAUCUAAAAUUGUAAUGAAAACAGUUUAAGCAAUUUGUAUAGAAUAAAUAAAUAAUUGGUCCAUCACAUAAAUGAAUAAUAUAAUAUAAAAGUCAUUUGCAAUAAUAAAAUUUAGCAAACUUGUAAUAAUGUUUUUGUAUAUGUUAUGUUGUUAUUGCCUAAACCACUCAAUUAUAUUAAAGUAAAUAAAAAAAAAAUAGUUAAAUUAGUUAGAUUAUAUUUUUAUCCAAGAAUAUUUUUUUUGACACACAUUGGAAUUUUAAUUAAGGAGUAGCACGUUUAUGUAUUCUUCAUGCUCGUCAUGACUUCCCAGCAACAUGAUAUUUUGGAUACAAUAAGACUUUGGAACCGAUAUCUAGGGAUUUUUGGUGGCCUCAAAUGUGGAAGGCAGUUAAAGAUUUUGUACAAUCAUGUGAUGUUUGCUCAAGAUCAAAAACUCCUUGUCAUCGACCUUUUGAACUUCUUCAGCCAUUACCCAUUUUAGAAUAACCAUGGUCUUCUGUUUCUAUGGACUUCAUCAUGGAUCUUCCAAUCUCAGGUUCUUAUGACUCUAUAUUCGUGAUAGUAGAUCAUUUUACCAAGAUGGUUUAUUUUGUAUCAUGUAUAAAAUCUAUCACACGUGAAGAAACAACUAAGCUCUUUCUUGACAAUAUCUAUCGCUAUCAUGGAUUAUGCAAGGAUAUUAUAUCAGAUAGGGGAACUCAAUUUGUAUCAAGAUUUUAGCGGAUUCUUUUCAAGAUUCUAAAAGUGGAUAUAAAACUAUCUUUCGCAUUCCAUCUUGAAACUGAUGGACAAACAGAGCAUAUUAAUCAAGUUUUGGAGCAAUAUUUAAGAUGUACUAUUAACUACCAACAAGAUGAUUGGACAACUCUUUUACCAUUGGCAAAGUUUGCUUACAAUAACACGGUGUCAUGUUGUAACAUGACUAUAUGGUAAAAGAUGAUAAUAUGGAUCUUAUUAUAGAAGAGCCAAGUUAAAAGAAAAGGUAGAAAAACAUGGAUAAAAGAUAGGAAGGUAGUAAAAAUUUUAAUAGUAAUGCUGUCUUUUUAGAAAAAAUAGCUUCUGCUUACUUUGUAGGACCAAAAAUAUGGCAAAAUAAGGUAGAUUGGAAAAAUAAAUAAUAUAGACAUCUUUAGGAAAAAGUUAAGAGUAAAUUUUAGUAAAAUUUACUAAAAAAAAACUAGAUGUUGAUAUGCGGAGAGGGCCGAUUAUGAAUUAGGAUCAAAAUCAGACCCUAAGGCACAAUACCGAGUCUCGACGACGACUUUAGGACUCUUUGGCAGAUUGGAGAGUGGAGUUUGAUAGCAAAUUGAAUAAGAUUUCUAUAGGUGUUGAUAUUAGGUGGUUUGGAGUUGUUAUGACUUUGUAAGAGCUUUGCAAAGUCAAGGUUUGUUUUGGACAACUUAGGUUUUAUGAAAUAAAAUAGGAUUUAUGUUUUGGGUGAUUUCGAGAGUUUUGUAGUAGAUCUAUGAGUGAAAUUUUGUGGAUUUUGAUUAUACUUGUGUUCAAUAUCUGUUGUGAAUUUGAACUCGAUCUAACGGUUGAAUUGAAGGAUAUUGAGGUUUAAGUGGAUCAAGGUCUCAAAAAGUAGAUUUUUUGGUCUAGUGAGGGUUUUUAAGAUUACUUGCAAUCUACUACUUGGAUUGGAGUUAAACUUAUGUGAGAGGAUAUUAGACUUAUUUUCCUAUGUGUAUAAGAAUUUUAAGAUCAAUCAAACGGUGAAAAGAAGAGAUAUUAGCUCUGGAAGAUUAGCAUCAAGAUUGGAGAAGGAGCUGGCCAAUACCCGAGCACAUUUUUGAGGUUAUCGUCAAUUUGGUAACUCUGUUCCUUUUCAAUUUUUUUUUUCUUUUUUUUAACUUAUUGUUUUAGAAGUGUGAAAAAUUUUAGUCAAGAUCAACGAUUUAUUCAUUAGUUAUUGAGGUUUAAAUUUGUUAUAGGAAUUAUUAGGGUUUGGUUUAGGGUUUGGUUAGGAUUUGGAUUAAGGUUUGGGUUAGGAUUUUAUUUAGGAUUUAAGAUUUGAUUAGGAUUUUAUUUAGGAUUUAGGAUUUGAAUUAGGGUUUAAUUUAGGAUUUAGGAUUUGGUUAGGGUUUGAUUUGGGAUUUAAGGUUUGAUUUAGGGUUUGGUUAAGAUUUGGUUUAGGAUUUGGUUGGGGUUUGGUUUAAAGUUUGUUUAGGGUUUGAUUUAAGAUUUAGGAUUUUAUUAGGAUUUAAGAUUCAAUUAGUUUUGGCCUUAAGUUUGAAUGAAGUUCAAUAGGAUUUUAACUAGAAUUAAAUUAAGAUUGAAUUGAGAUGUAUUUGAGUGAUAUUUGUGAUCCUGCUAAUAUUUCUUUAAGAAUUCUUAUUCUUUGUUUGAAAUUUUUUUGAGGUUUUGUUCAACAAAUCAAUCCAAUCGCAUAUCGUUUACAUCUACUGGAGUCAAUGAAAAUCCAUCCAGUAUUCCACGUGUCUCUUUUUGAAUCAUACAAGACAGUGGACAUACCAAGAAGAUGACAAGUUCCACCUCCUCCUAUAGAAGUGGACAAUAAUAAAGACUUUGAAGUAGAAGAAGUCUUAGAUUAAAGGUGGCCCCAAAAUAAAUUAGAAUAUCU
RNAcentral lists this long non-coding RNA (27685 nucleotides) under Physcomitrium patens. RNAcentral's name for it is "long non-coding RNA (PPAT_LNC006784)". The record is from RNAcentral. Lineage: Eukaryota; Viridiplantae; Streptophyta; Bryopsida; Funariales; Funariaceae.